This 484-nucleotide ribosomal RNA is filed under the name uncultured bacterium. RNAcentral describes it as "partial 16S ribosomal RNA". It matches the Rfam family "Bacterial small subunit ribosomal RNA", at positions 30 to 507 of the family's 1533-position model. The record is from RNAcentral.
AUUGAACGCUGGCGGCGGGCCUAACACAUGCGAGUCGAGCGGAUGAAGGGAGCUUGCUCCUGGAUUCAGCGGCGGACGGGUGAGUAAUGCCUAGGAAUCUGCCUGGUAGUGGGGGAUAACGUCCGGAAACGGGCGCUAAUACCGCAUACGUCCUGAGGGAGAAAGUGGGGGAUCUUCGGACCUCACGCUAUCAGAUGAGCCUAGGUCGGAUUAGCUAGUUGGUGGGGUAAAGGCCUACCAAGGCGACGAUCCGUAACUGGUCUGAGAGGAUGAUCAGUCACACUGGAACUGGGACACGGUCCAGACUCCUACGGGACGCAGCAGUGGGGAAUGUUGGACAGUGGGCGAAAGCCUGAUCCAGCCAUGCCGCGUGUGUGAAGAAGGUCUUCGGAUUGUAAAGCACUUUAAGUUGGGAGGAAGGGCAGUAAGUUAAUACCUUGCUGUUUUGACGUUACCAACAGAAUAAGCACCGGCUAACUUCGUG